Molecule: ribosomal RNA, 396 nt
Filed under: uncultured bacterium
Lineage: Bacteria
Description: bacterial SSU rRNA
Rfam family: Bacterial small subunit ribosomal RNA
Source: RNAcentral
AGAGUUUGAUCCUGGCUCAGAGCGAACGCUGGCGGCAGGCCUAAUACAUGCAAGUCGAGCGCCGUAGCAAUACGGAGCGGCAGACGGGAGAGUAACACGUGGGAACGUACCCUUCAGUUCGGAACAACCCAGGGAAACUUGGGCUAAUACCGGAUACGUCCGUAAGGAGAAAGAUUUAUCGCUGAAGGAUCGGCCCGCGUCUGAUUAGCUUGUUGGUGAGGUAACGGCUCACCAAGGCGACGAUCAGUAGCUGGUCUGAGAGGAUGAUCAGCCUCACUGGGACUGAGACACGGCCCAGACUCCUACGGGAGGCAGCAGUAGGGAGUAUUGGACAAUGGGCGCAAGCCUGAUCCAGCCAUGCCGCGUGGGUGAUGAAGGCCCUAGGGUUGUAAAGCC